ACUAAUAUAGCUUAAUGAAAGCGUAGCACUGAAAAUGCUAAGAUAAUUAAUUUUUAUUAGUA
This 62-nucleotide transfer RNA is filed under the name Argulus japonicus. RNAcentral's name for it is "tRNA-Phe". It matches the Rfam family "tRNA". Rfam says of the family: Transfer RNA (tRNA) molecules are approximately 80 nucleotides in length. Their secondary structure includes four short double-helical elements and three loops (D, anti-codon, and T loops). The record is from RNAcentral. Lineage: Eukaryota; Metazoa; Arthropoda; Ichthyostraca; Arguloida; Argulidae.